This is a long non-coding RNA of Balaenoptera acutorostrata (minke whale), 333 nucleotides long. RefSeq lists it as uncharacterized. The transcript has 3 exons. Lineage: Eukaryota; Metazoa; Chordata; Mammalia; Artiodactyla; Balaenopteridae. The record is from RefSeq and is a predicted model, not a curated record.
UGCGCCUGUAGCUUCAACAGUUUUUCCUCCACGAGGCCCAGGAGGUUGGGCAGAUAGUCACCUGCCUUGGGAUCCAGCUCCUUUCCUGCGAAGCGGCCGGCCUCCUGCAGCCCGGGGGCGGAACCAGAGAGAAGAGCCCAGUCACACUACUGAUUCAGGCCACUUCUACUUGGGGUGUUGCUCUGCCCCUGGAGCUGCUCCUGUCCCCUGGAGCCUCUUCAACCUCACCUGGAGCAGCCACCUGCGUGUGCACAGCGGACUUCCCCUCGCUGGCGUGGAAAGGUGCCGCCUUGGAAUGGAGUGAGUGCCAGGCCUGCACUGAGCCCUUGCCUC